This 816-nucleotide ribosomal RNA is filed under the name Arthrobacter sp. PCA1-1_Pa. RNAcentral describes it as "bacterial SSU rRNA". It matches the Rfam family "Bacterial small subunit ribosomal RNA", at positions 62 to 890 of the family's 1533-position model. The record is from RNAcentral. Lineage: Bacteria; Bacillati; Actinomycetota; Actinomycetes; Micrococcales; Micrococcaceae.
UCGAACGAUGAUCCCAGCUUGCUGGGGGAUUAGUGGCGAACGGGUGAGUAACACGUGAGUAACCUGCCCUUGACUCUGGGAUAAGCCUGGGAAACUGGGUCUAAUACCGGAUAUGACCAUUCCACGCAUGUGGUGGUGGUGGAAAGCUUUUGUGGUUUUGGAUGGACUCGCGGCCUAUCAGCUUGUUGGUGGGGUAAUGGCCUACCAAGGCGACGACGGGUAGCCGGCCUGAGAGGGUGACCGGCCACACUGGGACUGAGACACGGCCCAGACUCCUACGGGAGGCAGCAGUGGGGAAUAUUGCACAAUGGGCGCAAGCCUGAUGCAGCGACGCCGCGUGAGGGAUGACGGCCUUCGGGUUGUAAACCUCUUUCAGUAGGGAAGAAGCGAAAGUGACGGUACCUGCAGAAGAAGCGCCGGCUAACUACGUGCCAGCAGCCGCGGUAAUACGUAGGGCGCAAGCGUUAUCCGGAAUUAUUGGGCGUAAAGAGCUCGUAGGCGGUUUGUCGCGUCUGCUGUGAAAGACCGGGGCUCAACUCCGGUUCUGCAGUGGGUACGGGCAGACUAGAGUGCAGUAGGGGAGACUGGAAUUCCUGGUGUAGCGGUGAAAUGCGCAGAUAUCAGGAGGAACACCGAUGGCGAAGGCAGGUCUCUGGGCUGUAACUGACGCUGAGGAGCGAAAGCAUGGGGAGCGAACAGGAUUAGAUACCCUGGUAGUCCAUGCCGUAAACGUUGGGCACUAGGUGUGGGGGACAUUCCACGUUUUCCGCGCCGUAGCUAACGCAUUAAGUGCCCCGCCUGGGGAGUACGGCCGCA